CGCCUCUUGAUUCAUGAUAAGAGGUCUAGCCUGCCCAGUGAAUUUUUAACGGCCGCGGUAUCCUGACCACGCGAAGGUAGCAUAAUCACUUGUUCUUUAAAUGGGGACUUGUAUCAACGGCAUCACGAGGGUUUUACUGUCUCCUCUCUCUAAUCAGUGAAAUUGAUCUUCCCGUGAAGAAGCGGGAAUUCCUAUAUAAGACGAGAAGACCCCAUGGAGCUUCAAACCAAAUAGCAACUUAACCACAUACCCCCUAAUAAUCUUAAGUUCGUGCCAUUAGGUUUUUGGUUGGGGUGACCGCGGAGUAAAACAUAUCCUCCACGACGAAAAGACCACAAUCUUUAUUUAAGGGCGACAGCCCUAAAAAUUAGCACACUAACGUUUACUGACCCGAUAUUCGAUCAACGGAACAAGUUACCCUGGGGAUAACAGCGCAAUCUACUUUGAGAGCUCAUAUCGACAAGUAGGCUUACGACCUCGAUGUUGGAUCAGGGUAUCCUAGUGGUGCAGCCGCUACUAAGGGUUCGUUUGUUCAACGAUUAAAACCCU
RNAcentral lists this ribosomal RNA (549 nucleotides) under Polypedates macrotis (Baram whipping frog). RNAcentral's name for it is "partial 16S ribosomal RNA". It matches the Rfam family "Bacterial large subunit ribosomal RNA", at positions 1817 to 2597 of the family's 2925-position model. Lineage: Eukaryota; Metazoa; Chordata; Amphibia; Anura; Rhacophoridae. The record is from RNAcentral.